UCGGGAAUAUUGGUCAAUGGGCGGAAGCCUGAACCAGCCAUGCCGCGUGAAGGACUAAGGCCCUAUGGGUCGUAAACUUCUUUAGACGCAGAGCAAUAAGGGUCUCGUGAGAUCCGAUGAGAGUAUGCGUAGAAUAAGCAUCGGCUAACUCCGUGCCAGCAGCCGCGGUAAUACGGGGGAUGCGAGCGUUAUCCGGAUUUAUUGGGUUUAAAGGGUGCGUAGGCGGAAGUGCAAGUCAGCGGUGAAAUCCCCGCGCUCAACGCGGGAGUUGCCGUUGAUACUGUACAUCUGGAAUGCUCUUGCCGUGGGAGGACUGAGUAGUGUAGCGGUGAAAUGCAUAGAUAUUACUCAGAA
RNAcentral lists this ribosomal RNA (354 nucleotides) under uncultured bacterium. RNAcentral's name for it is "bacterial SSU rRNA". It matches the Rfam family "Bacterial small subunit ribosomal RNA", at positions 355 to 706 of the family's 1533-position model. The record is from RNAcentral.